CAGUCGCCGCGGGAAUACGAAGGGUGCGAGCGUUAAUCGGAAUUACUGGGCGUAAAGCGUGCGCAGGCGGUUGUGUAAGACAGGUGUGAAAUCCCCGGGCUUAACCUGGGAACUGCGCUUGUGACUGCACAGCUAGAGUAUGGCAGAGGGGGGUGGAAUUCCACGUGUAGCAGUGAAAUGCGUAGAGAUCGGGAGGAACAUCAGUGGCGAAGGCGGCCAUCUGGGACAACACUGACGCUGAGGCACGAAAGCGUGGGGAGCAAACAGGAUUAGAGACCCCCGUAGUCCCUGUCUCUUAUAA
This 301-nucleotide ribosomal RNA is filed under the name uncultured bacterium. RNAcentral describes it as "partial 16S ribosomal RNA". It matches the Rfam family "Bacterial small subunit ribosomal RNA", at positions 509 to 809 of the family's 1533-position model. The record is from RNAcentral.